GACGAACGCUGGCGGCACGCCUAACACAUGCAAGUCGAACGGUGAAGAGAAGCUUGCUUCUCGGAUCAGUGGCGGACGGGUGAGUAACAUGUGAGGAACCUGCCUUUCAGAGGGGGAUAACGUUUGGAAACGAACGCUAAUACCGCAUAACAUAUUCGGACGGCAUCGUCUGAAUAUCAAAGGAGCAAUCCGCUGAAAGAUGGCCUCGCACCUGAUUAGAUAGUUGGUGAGGUAACGGCUCACCAAGUCGACGAUCAGUAGCCGGACUGAGAGGUUCAACGGCACAUUGGGACUGAGAUACGGCCCAGACUCCUACGGGAGGCAGCAGUCGGGGAAUAUUGCACAAUGGAGGAAAC
This 356-nucleotide ribosomal RNA is filed under the name uncultured bacterium. RNAcentral's name for it is "bacterial SSU rRNA". It matches the Rfam family "Bacterial small subunit ribosomal RNA", at positions 28 to 381 of the family's 1533-position model. The record is from RNAcentral.